Molecule: ribosomal RNA, 504 nt
Filed under: uncultured bacterium
Lineage: Bacteria
Description: partial 16S ribosomal RNA
Source: RNAcentral
GGAGUUAGCCGGUGCUUCUUCUGUGAGUGAUGUCCUUCCUGCCGGUUAUUGACCCGCAGGCCUUCUUCCUCACUGAAAGUGCUUUACAACCCGAAGGCCUUCUUCACACACGCGGCAUGGCUGGAUCAGGGUUGCCCCCAUUGUCCAAUAUUCCCCACUGCUGCCUCCCGUAGGAGUCUGGGCCGUGUCUCAGUCCCAGUGUGGCUGAUCAUCCUCUCAGACCAGCUACGGAUCGUCGCCUUGGUGAGCCGUUACCUCACCAACCAGCUAAUCCGACAUAGGCUCAUCCGAUAGCGCGAGGCCCGAAGGUCCCCCGCUUUCCCCCGUAGGGCGUAUGCGGUAUUAGCCUGGGUUUCCCCCAGGUUAUCCCCCACUACCGGGCAGAUUCCUAUGCAUUACUCACCCGUCCGCCGCUCGCCACCAGGGAGCAAGCUCCCCGUGCUGCCGCUCGACUUGCAUGUGUAGCUGCCGCCAGCGUCAAUCUGAGCGAGANACAACUACUGA